AGAGACUGCGCCUGCGCGGGCACGAGACAACCUCUCCGCGAUGACUGCCAGCUCAGUAGAGCAGCUGCGGAAGGAGGGCAAUGAGCUGUUCAAAUGUGGAGACUACGGGGGCGCUCUGGCGGCCUACACUCAGGCCCUGGGUCUGGACGCGACGCCCCAGGACCAGGCCAUUCUGCACCGGAACCGGGCCGCCUGCCACCUCAAGCUGGAAGAUUACGACAAAGCAGAAACAGAGGCAUCCAAAGCUACCCUCACCUUUUCUGAGGCUGAAGCACCGAGCCCCACAUUCGUCCCCCCCACCUUCUUCUGGCCUUUCCUCGAGAUCUUUCCCUACUGCUCUUGCCUGGAGACAGUGGCCUCAUGGGUGCUGACAGCGCUCCUGUUUGUGCUCAGCCAUUGAAAAGGAUGGUGGGGAUGUCAAAGCACUCUACCGGCGGAGCCAAGCCCUAGAGAAGCUGGGCCGCCUGGACCAGGCUGUCCUUGACCUGCAGAGAUGUGUGAGCUUGGAGCCCAAGAACAAAGUUUUCCAGGAGGCCUUGCGGAACAUCGGGGGCCAGAUUCAGG
This 564-nucleotide small RNA is filed under the name Pan troglodytes (chimpanzee). Its description in RNAcentral is "retained intron". Lineage: Eukaryota; Metazoa; Chordata; Mammalia; Primates; Hominidae. The record is from RNAcentral.